CAACACGCGACGCCAUUGGAGGGAGAAGAGAUAUUAAAAGUCUCGUCCCGACCUCGACGAGUUACACACAACUUUCGACGGCGAUUGAGAGUUAGAGCCUUGUCCCUUGGUUAACCGAAAUCGUUCGCGUUCUAACGGGAAAUCGUGGUCUGAAAAAGGGGCUAGCUAUUUGGAAAAAGAGAGAGAAAAAGAGAGAGAGAGUGAGAGGCGUGUAAGGAGGAGGAAAAAGAGGAGGAUAGCAGGGUAAUACGAUGCAACAUAAUUUUUUUCGUCUUUAUUCCUAUCAACUUGUUCUCAACGAUGGUGUGAGUGUUCUUUUAAUAUUUUCAGUCAGGUCGAAGCAAUUUGUGAAAAGAAAAGGUAAUCAUGGAAAAGAGAGAGAAGAGUGAGAGAAAGAGAGAGAAAGAUGGUGAAUGAAAAUUGCCCUUUCGUUCUUAUUCUUUCGUCCAUUUUCUUCGUAUUUCAACACAGUUCGAACGAUCAAAAUAUGCCAUUCAAAAGAUGAAAAAGAAAAAGAGGUGGGGUUUUCACGAUCAGCAAGUAAAUCAAGCCACGCUCGAAUAUUAAGAGAUUGUACGAGAAGGACGGUGAAUACGGGCGUUAGCCGAGAUAGAACUCAUCUUUCGGAAUUUGUUUAUCGAUGUGUAGGUAUAUAAGAAAAGGAAUACAAUCAUAUAACGUUAUAUUCAGCCAAGUUUUUUUUUUUUCAAAUCUAAGCAAUUAAGUAUUAUACGAGAUCAAAAGCGAGAUCUUCUUUAAAUUAACGAUGAAUAGAAAUUUUUAUGGUAAGAAAAUUCAAUUAGGUUCUCAUGUCUAAACAGAAUGCGAACAAAAGGUGAAUCGGUUUGUAAAAAUAAUGACGAAGAUCGACGAGCAGAAGUUCGAAAUUCUUCAAGACUUAAAUAACGUUGCUUUUGAAAACAUAUUCAAGAAGGAAACGGAUGUAAAAGCUAAUGCAAAUAGAUAGCCCUGGUGAACAAGUGAAUCUGUAGUUUAGACAAACGAAGAGAUAGAGAUAGAGAGUGUGAGAGAAAGAGAGAAAGAGAGAGAGAGAGAAUAGCAUUAUGUUAUAAAUUAGCCAUUGUUGCUGGCUCAUAUCCGGAUGCGGCUAACUGACGAAGGAUAAUUUAGCUUGGCCGUUCAGCAGUAUCCGCAAGAGUCGCCGCAACCGCGCCAGGUAUGACGUUUCUAAUUAGUAAGUCUGCUACGUGGAAAUUACGUGCGAUUUGUCGGCGAUUUUGAAACAGCAUUCGCGGAAAUCCACCUUCCCUGUCGGCCGAGAAUUCUCUUCCUUGAGUUAAACUUUGGCUCGAUCAAGUCUUCCUGAGUUUAGAAGAUGAAUAGAUCGACGUGAUUAGACCACAAACGUGUUCACCGGACAUGAUAUCAACGAACAAACUAAUUCAAAGAAUUGAAUCAUAUUACACUAAAAAAUAACCUGACGUAAGUCUCUCCAAAAUCAAAUUUAUCUACAUUCUAAUGAUUUGAAAUCAUUGUGUGACUUGUGUUAGGCUGAUAUCGUAAUAAUCUCAUAUAUCUCUCUCUUUCUUAAUUCAUAAAUCACAGACAAUGAGUAUCCGUCAUAGAUGAAUUUUAUCGAAUCGUUCGUUAUUAAUAAAAUAAAAAAAAAGAUAAAUGACAUUAAACUAACAUAGAAAUACGAGAAUGUAGAGAUACAGAACUAGAAAAGUAUUAGAUUAUUCAAAGAAAUCGGGACGAAAAGCGGCGAGCAGGCAAAUUGGCGACCACGACUCUACCCACAGGCCAUCGAUUGUCGCGAAUUGAAAAACAAUUAGUGAAUUGCGGUUUCGAACGGCAUCGCCACCGCGCUACCUCCCCCUUCUCCCUCUUCGCUAUCUCCUCAUCCCUCUUUCCACGAGCAGCACCACCAUCACCACCACCACCACCACCACCACCACCAUCUCUGUACCAUCCAUUCGUCCUCCGAUCUCGUGCUGAACAUCACCGUAUACAUUCUCGCAUUGGAUAUAUCGCCAUUAAUUUGCAUAGAGGUAAAGCCGAGCGCAAAAACCGGCCGAGCUUUACGUGCAAGUUUCCGUCGGGGAAAUAAUAAAUUUAUCACGCGGAAAUUAUCAACCGGUAGAGAGGACGAAAGAGAGAGAGA
Molecule: long non-coding RNA, 2125 nt
Organism: Vespula pensylvanica (western yellowjacket)
Lineage: Eukaryota; Metazoa; Arthropoda; Insecta; Hymenoptera; Vespidae
Exons: 3
Source: RefSeq, a predicted model, not a curated record